Long non-coding RNA from Pseudophryne corroboree (corroboree frog), 349 nucleotides. RefSeq lists it as uncharacterized. The record is from RefSeq and is a predicted model, not a curated record. The transcript has 3 exons. Lineage: Eukaryota; Metazoa; Chordata; Amphibia; Anura; Myobatrachidae.
GAUGACACUUGUGAAUUAUAUUAUAUUGGAAGCCUACUCACAUUUACCUGUGACGGUACAAUUGCUGAGAUUUGAGCAACAUACCAGCUGAGUGGAUAGAUAUUAUCGGGAUCUUUUUCCCUUAAGUGAGGCCUCAACAUCUCUAUUGAGGACACUAUGUAUAUACCUUGAAAAAUGAAAUAUGAUGUGAAUGUUUACCGAUCCUGCCUAUCUUGAGAAAGACCCGGUCAAGGGGUCGAAACGUCGAUCAAAGGCGAAUUGGUGCAACUGACUAUUAAAAUCAUGAAUGUUUUAUGCUAUUUAAUUGUAUAUGUUAUUUACUAGUGAGUGCCCCCUCCACUUUUGUGGA